UAAGACGAACCGUGCGAACGUUGUUCGGAAUCACUGGGCUUAAAGGGCGCGUAGGCGGGUCACCAAGUCUGGGGUGAAAUCCUCCAGCUUAACUGGAGAAUAGCCUUGGAUACUGGUGGUCUCGAGGGAGGUAGGGGCAGCUGGAACUUCCGGUGGAGCGGUGAAAUGCGUUGAUAUCGGAAGGAACGCCGGUGGCGAAAGCGAGCUGCUGGACCUCUUCUGACGCUGAGGCGCGAAAGCCAGGGGAGCAAACGGGAUUAGAUACCCCGGUAGUCCUGGCCCUAAACGAUGGGUACUAGGUAGUGGACUGGACAUGGGUUCCCUGCCGAAGCUAAAGUGCUAAGUACCCCGCCUGGGGAGUAUGGUCGCAAGGCUG
RNAcentral lists this ribosomal RNA (376 nucleotides) under uncultured bacterium. Its description in RNAcentral is "bacterial SSU rRNA". It matches the Rfam family "Bacterial small subunit ribosomal RNA", at positions 521 to 896 of the family's 1533-position model. The record is from RNAcentral.